ACGCUGGCGGCAGGCCUAACACAUGCAAGUCGAGCGGUAGCACAGAGAGCUUGCUCUCGGGUGACGAGCGGCGGACGGGUGAGUAAUGUCUGGGAAACUGCCUGAUGGAGGGGGAUAACUACUGGAAACGGUAGCUAAUACCGCAUAACGUCUUCGGACCAAAGUGGGGGACCUUCGGGCCUCAUGCCAUCAGAUGUGCCCAGAUGGGAUUAGCUAGCAGGUGAGGUAAUGGCUCACCUGGGCGACGAUCCCUAGCUGGUCUGAGAGGAUGACCAGCCACACUGGAACUGAGACACGGUCCAGACUCCUACGGGAGGCAGCAGUGGGGAAUAUUGCACAAUGGGCGCAAGCCUGAUGCAGCCAUGCCGCGUGUAUGGAGAAGGCCUUCGGGUUGUAAAGUACUUUCAGCGGGGAGGAAGGCGAUAAGGUUAAUAACCUUGUCGAUUGACGUUACCCGCAGAAGAAGCACCGGCUAACUCCGUGCCAGCAGCCGCGGUAAUACGGAGGGUGCAAGCGUUAAUCGGAAUUACUGGGCGUAAAGCGCACGCAGGCGGUCUGUCAAGUCGGAUGUGAAAUCCCCGGGCUCAACCUGGGAACUGCAUUCGAAACUGGCAGGCUAGAGUCUUGUAGAGGGGGGUAGAAUUCCAGGUGUAGCGGUGAAAUGCGUGGAGAUCUGGAGGAAUACCGGUGGCGAAGGCGGCCCCCUGGACAAAGACUGACGCUCAGGUGCGAAAGCGUGGGGAGCAAAC
RNAcentral lists this ribosomal RNA (749 nucleotides) under uncultured bacterium. RNAcentral describes it as "bacterial SSU rRNA". It matches the Rfam family "Bacterial small subunit ribosomal RNA", at positions 33 to 773 of the family's 1533-position model. The record is from RNAcentral.